Molecule: ribosomal RNA, 322 nt
Filed under: uncultured eukaryote
Lineage: Eukaryota
Description: partial 18S ribosomal RNA
Rfam family: Eukaryotic small subunit ribosomal RNA
Source: RNAcentral
CCCUUAGAUGUUCUGGGCCGCACGCGUGCUACACUGAGUAAUUCAAUGGGUAAGGGAACGCUAGAGCAUUACCUAAUCUUGAAAUUUGCUCGUGAUGGGGAUCGACGGUUGCAAUUUUCCGUCGUGAACGAGGAAUACCUUGUAGGCGCAUGUCAUCAUCAUGCGGCGAAUACGUCCCUGCCCUUUGUACACACCGCCCGUCGCUCCUACCGAUUGAGUGAUCCGGUGAGGCUCUGGGACCUGGACGGAAAGAGCGUUUCGCUUGUUCUGUUUGGGAAACUUGGUCGAACCUUAUCAUUUAGAGGAAGGAGAAGUCGUAACA